UCUGUUUGUUUUGUCCAGUUUUUAAUAUUUACAAAUUAAUAAAUGCUUACAGUAGUUCUGGCUUUAAUAGUAACACAUGGAAAAACUGCACUUUUUUAUGUUAUUUUAAAAAGCUAUAGAUAACAGAGAAACUGGUUGUUCUGCAGGGCACGGUGGCAAAGUGAAUGAUGCAGCUGGCAGCGACACAGAGUAAAUUCCAGCAGAGAAUCCAGGAGAGAGAGAAGGAGCUGCAGGAUCUGAGACAGGCUGUGCAGUCACUCAAGCGCUCUGCACAUGCAGCAGUGGAAGACAGUGAGAGGAUCUUUACUGAGCUUAUCCGCUCCAUUGAAAGAAGGUGCUCUGAGGUGAAAGAGAUGAUCAGAGAUCAGGAGAAGUCUGCAGUGAGUCGGGCUGAAGGACUCCUGGAGCGACUGGAGCAGGAGAUUGCUGAGCUGAAGAGGAGAGAUGCUGAGCUGGAGCAGCUUUCAACCACAGAGGAUCACAUCCACUUC
This is a long non-coding RNA of Anguilla anguilla (European eel), 491 nucleotides long. RefSeq lists it as uncharacterized. The transcript has 3 exons. Lineage: Eukaryota; Metazoa; Chordata; Actinopteri; Anguilliformes; Anguillidae. The record is from RefSeq and is a predicted model, not a curated record.